RNAcentral lists this ribosomal RNA (468 nucleotides) under uncultured bacterium. RNAcentral's name for it is "partial 16S ribosomal RNA". It matches the Rfam family "Bacterial small subunit ribosomal RNA", at positions 28 to 507 of the family's 1533-position model. The record is from RNAcentral.
GACGAACGCUGGCGGCGUGCUUAACACAUGCAAGUCGAACGGAAAGACCCUGCUUUUGUGGGGUGCUCGAGUGGCGAACGGGUGAGUAACACGUGAGUAACCUGCCCUUGACUUUGGGAUAACUUCAGGAAACUGGGGCUAAUACCGGAUAGGAGCUCCUGCUGCAUGGUGGGGGUUGGAAAGUUUCGGCGGUUGGGGAUGGACUCGCGGCUUAUCAGCUUGUUGGUGGGGUAGUGGCUUACCAAGGCUUUGACGGGUAGCCGGCCUGAGAGGGUGACCGGCGACAUUGGGACUGAGAUACGGAGCAGACUCCUACGGGAGGCAGCAGUGGGGAAUAUUGCACAAUGGGCGGAAGCCUGAUGCAGCAACGCCGCGUGCGGGAUGACGGCCUUCGGGUUGUAAACCGCUUUCGCCUGUGACGAAGCGUGAGUGACGGUAAUGGGUAAAGAAGCACCGGCUAACUACGUG